CCUACGGGUGGCAGCAGUGGGGAAUAUUGCACAAUGGGGGAAACCCUGAUCCAGCAACGCCGCGUGAGUGAAGAAGUAUCUCGGUAUGGAAAGCUCUAUCAGCCGGGAAGCAGAUGACGGUACCUGAGUAAGACGCCCCGGCUAACUACGUGCCAGCAGCCGCGGUAAUACGGAGGAUGCGAGCGUUAUCCGGAUUUAUUGGGUUAAAAGGGUGCGCAGGCGGGGGUUCAAGUUAGUGGUCAAAUUGCGGGGCUCAACCCCGUACUGCCGUUGAAACUGCAGCCCUUGAGUGCGCGAGAAGUAGGCGGAAUGCGUGGUGUAGCGGUGAAAUGCAUAGAUAUCACGCAGAACUCCGAUUGCGAAGGCAGCAUACCGGCGCGCAACUGACGCUCAUGCACGAAAGCGUGGGGAUCGAACAGGAUUAGAUACCCGGGUAGUC
Molecule: ribosomal RNA, 439 nt
Filed under: uncultured bacterium
Lineage: Bacteria
Description: partial 16S ribosomal RNA
Rfam family: Bacterial small subunit ribosomal RNA
Source: RNAcentral